Molecule: RNA transcript, 3012 nt
Organism: Dendrobium catenatum
Lineage: Eukaryota; Viridiplantae; Streptophyta; Magnoliopsida; Asparagales; Orchidaceae
Gene name: tricalbin-3
Exons: 10
Source: RefSeq, a predicted model, not a curated record
UUGCCCUUUCGGUACAGAGAGGGCCCGAUAUGGCCUUCGCACCCUCCCGUUAUCUUCUCUCCAACUACUGCGCCCCUUUCUCUCCUCUCUUUUAUUCUUCCCCCAUUCAACCUUAAGCAUAGUUCCGCUCCACUUCUUGCCCUGGCCGUAAUCCCUUAAAUUCGGAAUUUAUCGAGCGCCGGGAUUUAAGGUGCGCACAAAAACCGUUUGGCAGGAUUUAGCGAAAUCCCGCUUAAAUCCGGUUGUAAAUCCGAUACCAAACAGCCCCUUAACAUCUCCCUUAUUCGCUUCUUUUAGCCUUUCAUGCAUUGCCCCUGCGAUGCUCUCGCUGCGGGAUUUGGUCUCCUACGGCUCCACCGUAGAAUGCCCCUGCAAAUUGGGUAGUGAAUGUUCCGGUGGAAUCGUUUGGCAUAGCCACUGGAGGCGGCGGAGGAGAUUACUCCUCGGUUUUCUAUCCGGUGAUGCUUACAUAAGGAAUUGGAGAUGCUUGUUAGUGUGCCGGAAAGCUUGGAAUUCGAGCUUUAGUUUUGCCCAUCCCGUGCUCUUAAGCUCGGCGAGGAGGAGCUCCAGGACACCGAGGCUGUUGGUCGCCAAGAAAUACUCCGAAGAGGUUGGCGGAGCUGGUGGCUACCGGGAGGAUGCAGCGGUAGCUGGCUCCGAGCUUGUGCAGAUGGAUUCGGCCAAUUUUACGAGUUAUCCUGAGGAUCCUCUCGUGAACAAGCUGAGAUCGCAGCUUGGGGUCAUCCAUCCAAUCCCUUCGCCUCCCAUCAAUAGAAAUAUUGUGGGUUUCUUCGUGCUAUUCUUUUUCAUCGGGGUUGUGUUUGAUAAGCUGUGGACCUCAAGGAGGUCGAGUAAAUCGGCUCGGGAAUCUCGAGCAGGGACUUGGCCGCAGGUGCCAACCAGCUUCUCCAUGUUUCUUGAGAAGGAUCUACAGAGGAAAGAGUCUGUGGAGUGGGUUAAUAUGGUGUUGGGAAAGCUGUGGAAAGUUUAUCGGCCUGGUAUUGAGAAUUGGAUCAUGGGGCUUCUUCAGCCUGUGAUUGAUAAUCUCCGGAAGCCUGGUUAUGUGCAGAGGGUGGAAAUUAAACAGUUUUCACUAGGCGAUGAGCCUUUGUCGGUUAGGAAUGUGGAGCGGAGGACUUCUAGGCGUGUCAAUGAUUUGCAGUACCAUAUUGGCCUUCGUUAUACUGGUGGAGCUCGCAUGUUGCUCUCCUUAUCCUUAAAGUUUGGUAUAAUCCCCAUUGUUGUUCCUGUUGGUGUUCGUGAUUUUGAUAUUGAUGGGGAACUAUGGGUUAAACUACGAUUAAUACCAACUGAACCGUAUAUUGGUGCUGUAUCAUGGGCUUUUGUUUCCUUGCCAAAGAUUAAGAUCGAGUUGUCGCCAUUUCGUCUGUUCAACCUUAUGGGAGUACCUGUUGUUUCAAUGUUUCUGAGAAAGCUUCUUACAGAAGAUUUGCCUAGACUUUUUGUUCGUCCAAGAAAGAUUGUGCUUGAUUUCCAAAAGGGUAAAGCUCUUGGCCCUAUUACAGAUAACUUUAAAGCCGAUACAACUGAAGAAGGAAACAAAGAGUUUGUUGGGGAGUUAUCUGUGACUCUUGUUGAUGCUCGCAAACUUGCUUUUGUGAGAAUUGGUAAGACAGAUCCAUAUGUUGUUCUAAAACUAGGCGAUCAAGUGAUUCGAAGUAAAAAGAACAGCCAAACAACUGUCAUUGGGCCACCAGGAGAGCCAAUCUGGAAUCAAGAUUUUCUCCUAUUUGUUUUGAACCCUAGAAAACAGAGAUUACAAAUUGAAGUUAUAGAUUCUUUUGGUUUCAGUUAUUUCACUCUCGGGGCAGGGGAGGUUGAGCUUGGAUCCCUUCAAGAUACUGUACCAUCUGAUAGGAUUGUAACUCUGAAAGGUGGUUGGAGAAAUUUUGGAAGGCAGUCAUCGGGGGAGAUAUUACUUCGUUUGACAUAUAAGGCAUAUGUUGAGGAUGAAGAAGAUGAUUGGGUAGAAAGAGAAGUUGAAAGCGAUUCAUCUGAUGAUGAGGCCUUAGAUUAUGAUCAAGCUAGUGACUUUUCUGGAGAGCGUGAAAGCAGUCCUAAUUAUGCAAGGGAAAGAGAGUCUUUUAUGAAUGUCUUGGCUGAUUUGCUUGUGAGUGAGGAAUUUCAGGGCAUUGUGACAUCUGAAACGGGUCAUCCCAAAGCAUCUGAUGAAUCAUAUUACCCUGGAUCGAUGGCUUUAAGAGAGCGUGUCCGCAAUGCUGAUAGUCCUCCUGUUAAGCCAGCAACUGCCCUGGUAGAAUCCAAUGGUUUGGCUCUAGCAUGGCUUGCUGCUAUAACAAGUAUAGCAUUAUUGAUUGCUUUUAAUGUGGGCGGUUCUGGUUUCUUCAAUCCAUAGUUUAACAUGGAGAAAUGAGGUUGAAUCAGGUUUUUGCACACUUACAGCUCUUUCAUUCAAGGUUGGUUCUGAAUUCUCAACUUUUAGAAUUGAGAGAGUCGGGUACCUCAGGGUCAGGAGCAGUUUUGUUUUAUGAUUGAUCCGUGUAUAAUUUAGAAAGGUUUAAGUUAUAAUUCGGGACUUGUAUGCUGCAAUUCAGUGGAACGUGCUCUUUGCAUUGUUAAUAUUCUUCAUGUUGUCAUUAGUUUCUCUUCUUCAUUUAUUAAAAUCAUUGUAUUUAUAACAUUUGUUCAAAUAUAGCAGCAGAGGAAAAUCUUACCGGUAUUAUCAGCAGAUGCUAGUAUCUCCAUUUUCCGGUACUAGCUUUGGAUCUGCAUGUUCGCUGAACUUCUAACGUGAAGGGGGAUAAAACGGCCGACUCUCUUUUUUGGCGCCUUGGCACUUCCAUUUCUACUUCAUAAAUGUAGAAAAUAUUGGCGAUUUUUCUGAUGUAUUAUAAAGUUGUUACUGUUUUGUUAGUUGUUUUUUAUUCUUUUCGCCUUGCUAUGAGCAAAUGGUGGUUAUACUGUUAUAUUUAUACAACAUCUUUGGGAAAUUUCACUGUCUGCUUAUGCUAAUGGAAAUUGAAAAAAUAA